GAUAAAUUAAAAUGUUGAAAUUAGAAAGUUAAAACAAGGGACAGUAUCAAAUAUCUCGCUAUGUACACCGAGAUUAAAAAUUAUAAGAUAAUACGAUCCGCAGAAAGGAUUAUGACUUCUUUUUAUAAUGAUUAAAACAUAUUAACACUCUCAAGAUUAGAACUUUAUAUACCAGCCUAACCUUGCAAGUUUCAAUAUACAGGCAAGUUCUUGCAAUAAAAAUUGUUACCGUAUUUUCGUCACAGGAACUUGUAGCCUAAAGUAAAAUAUUCAACAACUUAAUAUAACCAAAUACUCAUAAUGUCAACAUCCAGUACAAAUCAUGAAUUCAUACCUAGCUUGAGGUUAAUCGGCAGAUAUGCAAAAUAAAUUAGAUCUUCUUCCAAGUGAACAGAGUUUUACAUGAAAACUACUACUCUCUCUGUUUCAAUUUGUUUGUCUUGCUUUCUUUUUUAGUCUCUUUAAAAAAGAACGCAUAUUUCUUUGUUUUGACAACUCUUUAAUUCCAAAUUUCCACGUGGCAUGUUUGAGACCAAUAACAACAACAACACACCCCAGUGAAAUCCCACAAAGUGGGGUACGGGGAUGUAGAGUGUACGCAGACCUUACGCCUAUCUUAGAAGGUAGGGAGACUAUUUCCGAUAGACCCUCGGUUCAAAAUACAGACAUAUUUAAGACCACAAGAUUAAAAGGGCAUUUUAGCACAUUCUGAUAUCUUUAAUACAUUAUUACUGAUAAACUCAACAUAUUUCACAAAAAAGAGAUAGAUGGGAAAAUUGUAGUGACCAUUAAGAGCUU
Lycium ferocissimum is the source of this 798-nucleotide long non-coding RNA. RefSeq lists it as uncharacterized. The record is from RefSeq and is a predicted model, not a curated record. The transcript is spliced from 3 exons. NCBI's taxonomy places the organism in Eukaryota, Viridiplantae, Streptophyta, Magnoliopsida, Solanales, Solanaceae.